This 1683-nucleotide ribosomal RNA is filed under the name Triticum aestivum (bread wheat). RNAcentral describes it as "partial small subunit ribosomal RNA". Lineage: Eukaryota; Viridiplantae; Streptophyta; Magnoliopsida; Poales; Poaceae. The record is from RNAcentral.
AUGGAUCCCCACCCCACCCCCUUCCGAGCGAAGCGGAAGUCGGUCGCUGCGCCGGCAAAGACGCCAGCGCCGAAGCCCAAGUCCGUCGCCAACGGCACCGCGCGCGGGAGAAUGACCACCUCCGCCACCACCAGCGCCGUCUCCGCGGGGGCCGCUCCCCAGCCACGGCCACGGCGCGCGUUCGGCACCGUCCGGAGCAGCAACUCCCUGGCCGAGAAGCCGGCCCCGCCGCCGCCGCAGAAGCAUUCAAAGCUGUCGCCCCCGCCUCCGCAAAAGCCUCUGAAGGUGUCGCCGCCGAAGCUGCAGAAGCCUGCGGCAAAGGUAUCGCCUCCGCCUCCGCAGAAGCCUGCUAAGGUUUCGCCGCCACCUCAGCAAAAGCUUUCGAGGCUGUCCCCGCCGGUUCCGGCCAAGGCGGCCAGGCCUUCUCGUCCCGCAGAAAAGCCACUGAAGAAAGCUUGCCCAGCCCCCCCGGAUCUGGCGGCCAAGGCCAAGAAAAAGAGCCAGAGGGUGAGCUUCCAGGAUGACGUGGCAGCGCUGGCUCCCUCCGGAAGCGGGGAGAAGGUCAAAGCAUCCACCGAAGACUCUGCUGGGCGCACGCCUAUGGUGCCUGUCAAACCCCUGGAGAAGAAGCCGGCGAAGGUUGUGGCCGCAGAGACCCCGUUCUUCAGCGCUCAGAAUUGCAGCAGCUGCACGCUUGAUCAGCUCGAGUCCGCCUCCUACUGGCUGGCACAGAUCCAUCUGGCCGAGUCUGUUGGCAAGCACAAUGUCUCUGCCGCAUUCUUCCGCCUUGCAUUUGAAUGCCAAGCUCAGCCAUUUCACAGGAUCCGAAGUGAGCUCAGGAACUAUGUGGCGCGCCAUGAGAGUGCUAGCACUUUGACCCCUUUAUUCCAUGAGCUCCUGGUUGCCCAUGCCAUGGCAGUGAACCAACUGAAGUUUGACACUGAUGGGUCUGAAAAGGUGGAUACACCUGCAACUACAAAUACAGUUGACCAAAAGCUUGAUGCUACCACACUGGUGCAUGAAUGCUCUGAACGUGAUUGUGGUGGUGAUCUUGUUGAUGUGGGGGAAGUCAGUGUUAUCAAACAAGGAGAGGAAGAGAUGGACCAACCGAGCUUUGAGCAGAAACUGGAUGAAAGUUUUGCAUUUGAUGAUUGUGAGGCUGUCAUCGUGGACCGGCUAGCUGAAGAACAUUCUGAAUUCGAAAAGAUUAUCGGUGUCAAAGGUCCUUGUGACAGUGAAAUAGUCCAGUCAGCAUGUCGCUCUUCCAUCGACAGGCUGAGCUUGAGAGGAUCCCCUCUAGCAAGGGGAGCAUCUGAAAGACGCCUCUCGUCAGAGAGCCAUUUAGAUAAAUUGUCUCCGUCUGCUGCAGGGAGCUUGUCUGCAAAGCGCUUAUCAUCAUCUGGUAGCCCUUUCAACAACUCUCCGUUCUGCAGGGGCUCGUUACAGAGGCUCACAUCCAGUUGCCCUUCUUCUAAGAAGUCCUCCGCUAAAGGCGGCCUGUCUGCAAAGCGGAUGUCAUCUGGUGGCCGCUCUGAUGAGGAGCAUAAUAAUGGUACUGCUGGAGCUGGUGAUUCUAGCAGAGUGAUUCAAGAAGGGGAAUCUGGUUGCCACAUUUUAGUUGAACCGAUGAAAUUGAAAGAGCAUGGGGAGUAUGAUGAUGAUGCCAUUGAUGAGACCCAGUAG